CUGAAGAGAGGAGCUUGCUCUUCUUGGAUGAGUUGCGAACGGGUGAGUAACGCGUAGGUAACCUGCCUGGUAGCGGGGGAUAACUAUGGGAAACGAUAGCUAAUACCGCAUAAAAUGGAUUAUCGCAUGAUAAUGCAUUGAAAGGUGCAAAUGCAUUACUACCAGAUGGACCUGCGUUGUAUUAGCUAGUUGGUGGGGUAACGGCUCACCAAGGCGACGAUACAUAGCCGACCUGAGAGGGUGAUCGGCCACACUGGGACUGAGACACGGCCCAGACUCCUACGGGAGGCAGCAGUAGGGAAUCUUCGGCAAUGGACGGAAGUCUGACCGAGCAACGCCGCGUGAGUGAAGAAGGUUUUCGGAUCGUAAAGCUCUGUUGUAAGAGAAGAACGAGUGUGAGAGUGGAAA
Molecule: ribosomal RNA, 408 nt
Filed under: Streptococcus sp. oral taxon 071
Lineage: Bacteria; Bacillati; Bacillota; Bacilli; Lactobacillales; Streptococcaceae
Description: bacterial SSU rRNA
Rfam family: Bacterial small subunit ribosomal RNA
Source: RNAcentral